Molecule: non-coding RNA, 48 nt
Filed under: Schistosoma mansoni
Lineage: Eukaryota; Metazoa; Platyhelminthes; Trematoda; Strigeidida; Schistosomatidae
Source: RNAcentral
AUCCAACUGACGAAUCGCAAAUAAGACGAAGUGGCACGUGUCCUGGAU